GACGAACGCUGGCGGCGUGCCUAACACAUGCAAGUCGAACGGAACUGUUUUGAAAGAUUUCUUCGGAAUGAAUUUGAUUUAGUUUAGUGGCGGACGGGUGAGUAACGCGUGAGUAACCUGCCUUCAAGAGGGGGAUAACAUUCUGAAAAGAAUGCUAAUACCGCAUGAUAUAUCGGAACCACAUGGUUUUGAUAUCAAAGAUUUUAUCGCUUGAAGAUGGACUCGCGUCCGAUUAGUUAGUUGGUGAGGUAACGGCUCACCAAGACCGCGAUCGGUAGCCGGACUGAGAGGUUGAACGGCCACAUUGGGACUGAGACACGGCCCAGACUCCUACGGGAGGCAGCAGUGGGGGAUAUUGCGCAAUGGGGGCAACCCUGACGCAGCAACGCCGCGUGAAGGAUGAAGGUUUUCGGAUUGUAAACUUCUUUUAUUAAGGACGAAACUUGACGGUACUUAAUGAAUAAGCUC
RNAcentral lists this ribosomal RNA (468 nucleotides) under uncultured bacterium. RNAcentral describes it as "bacterial SSU rRNA". It matches the Rfam family "Bacterial small subunit ribosomal RNA", at positions 28 to 493 of the family's 1533-position model. The record is from RNAcentral.